Molecule: long non-coding RNA, 487 nt
Filed under: Olea europaea subsp. europaea
Lineage: Eukaryota; Viridiplantae; Streptophyta; Magnoliopsida; Lamiales; Oleaceae
Source: RNAcentral
AUCAUUCAGAAAUAUCAAAUAUUUCAUAGCGUCAAACAUAUCCCUAAUGGACCAGCCUCGAGUGUACUCAACAAGUUGAGACGAUUUAGAAUUCUGUUUUUUCACUAUAAUGAUGGAAGGCGAUUACAAAUGUGACUUAAUAUUUUAUGGAGGGAUUUUACAUUCAAAAGUCUCAUCAACAAUGAUACAAUCAUAUAUAUAUUAUUAUACAUCUACCAUACAAAUAAAUAAAUAAAUAAAUAAAUAAAUAUAUAUAUAUAUUAGUGUGGACGAUAAUAGACUUUUACUAUCUAGUCUUCCCGAGCCAUAAGGAAGACUAGUUGGUCAAUUCUUAGGGGGUAUUACACUGAUCAAUAUCAAUGCGCCAUCUCCAUGAUCUCCUCCUCUUCUUGUUUCUUCAAUUAGUCCAAUUGCAACAUGUAUCUUAUACUAGUUGGCACGUAGGUCUAAAUGAAAUUAGACUCGCAGGCCUAUAGCAACAAUAAUA